ACCAGCACGUUAUGGGGGGCACUCUAAGGAGACUGCCGGUGACAAACCGGAGGAAGGGGGGGAUGACGUCAAGUCAUCAUGGCCCUUACGGCCUGGGCUACACACGUGCUACAAUGGUCGGUACAAAGGGUUGCCAAGCCGCGAGGGGGAGCUAAUCCCAUAAAACCGAUCGUAGUCCGGAUCGCAGUCUGCAACUCGACUGCGUGAAGUCGGAAUCGCUAGUAAUCGCGAAUCAGAAUGUCGCGGUGAAU
Molecule: ribosomal RNA, 251 nt
Filed under: Pseudomonas sp. BC2_KB2F5
Lineage: Bacteria; Pseudomonadati; Pseudomonadota; Gammaproteobacteria; Pseudomonadales; Pseudomonadaceae
Description: partial 16S ribosomal RNA
Rfam family: Bacterial small subunit ribosomal RNA
Source: RNAcentral